This 426-nucleotide ribosomal RNA is filed under the name uncultured Chlamydiae bacterium. RNAcentral describes it as "bacterial SSU rRNA". It matches the Rfam family "Bacterial small subunit ribosomal RNA", at positions 958 to 1385 of the family's 1533-position model. Lineage: Bacteria; Pseudomonadati; Chlamydiota; Chlamydiia. The record is from RNAcentral.
AACGCGAAGAACCUUACCCAGGCUCGAAAUGUAGGCGGCGAUACCAGAAAUGGUAUUUUCCGUAAGGACGCCUAUAUAGGUGCUGCAUGGCUGUCGUCAGCUCGUGCCGUGAGGUGUUUGGUUAAGUCCAGCAACGAGCGCAACCCUUAUCAUUAGUUGCCAACACGCAAGGUGGGGACUCUAAUGAGACUGCCUAGGUUAACUAGGAGGAAGGUGAGGAUGACGUCAAGUCCGCAUGGCCUUUAUGUCUGGGGCUACACACGUGCUACAAUGGUCGGUACAGAAGGCAGCAAGACCGCAAGGUGGAGCAAAUCCGUAAAACCGAUCUCAGUUCAGAUUGUAGUCUGCAACUCGACUACAUGAAGCUGGAAUUGCUAGUAAUGACGUGUCAGCAACAACGUCGUGAAUACGUUCCCGGGCCUUGUA